GGGCAUUUGGUCUAGUGGUAUGAUUCUCGCUUUGGGUGUGAGAGGCCCCAAGUUCGAUUCUCAGAAUGUCCC
Non-coding RNA from Morus notabilis, 72 nucleotides. NCBI's taxonomy places the organism in Eukaryota, Viridiplantae, Streptophyta, Magnoliopsida, Rosales, Moraceae. The record is from Rfam.